Molecule: small RNA, 26 nt
Filed under: Bombyx mori (domestic silkworm)
Lineage: Eukaryota; Metazoa; Arthropoda; Insecta; Lepidoptera; Bombycidae
Description: ovarian small RNA-34269
Source: RNAcentral
UGCUUAUGUAUGGUGGAAUGUUGAAC